AGCGAACGCUGGCGGCGUGCCUAACACAUGCAAGUCGAACGUGAAAGGGAGCAAUCCCCAGUAAUGUGGCGUACGGGUGAGUAACACGUAGGUAAUCUACCCCAGACUCUGGAAUAACCGGCCGAAAGGCUGGCUAAUACUGGAUAGAGCGACGGAAUCCGUAAUUGGGUUUUUCGGGAAAGGGAGCCUGUUAAAAGGCCUUCGUUCUGGGAUGAGCCUGCGCCCCAUCAGCUAGUGGGUGAGGUAAAGGCUAACAAAGGCAAGGAGGGAUAGCUGGUCUGGAGGACUGACCGCCACACUGGAACUGGAACACCGUCCAGACUCCUAAGGGGGGCAAGAGGUGGGAAUCCUUCGCAAAUGACGGAAGGCUGACGGGGCAACGCCGGCGUGAUGAAGAAGGCUUUCGGGUUGUAAAAAUCUGGCGAGUAGGAAAAAACAGCUGGGAGAGCAAAGCUCCACGAACUGACGGUACCAAUAAAGAAAGCACCGGCUAACUCCGUG
RNAcentral lists this ribosomal RNA (501 nucleotides) under uncultured bacterium. RNAcentral describes it as "partial 16S ribosomal RNA". It matches the Rfam family "Bacterial small subunit ribosomal RNA", at positions 29 to 507 of the family's 1533-position model. The record is from RNAcentral.